AGUACGUAUCAUUGGGGGGGGGGGGCGGAGCGAAUCAUUUCAACACAUAGAAAGCUAAACAAAAUAAAAUAUUGUUAUCAAAUUAGACACACAAAAAAUCGUCUUACCACCAAUUAAAUCAUUUCAGCUUUUGGUAUUGGGAGGGAAGAAGAAAGUAAAACAUUUACAUUCUUAUCUUGUGAAAAAAGAGAUGAUUAGGUCCUACGCGUGUUCCUAGGUCAAUCUAGUCAUGCAUGUUAGGAUGAAUUCGACUAGGGAUGGUUGGGCUGACUAGGGAUGGUUGGACUGACUAAGGAUGGUUGGACUGACUAAGUAUGGUUGGACUGACUAGGGAUGGUUGGACUAACUAGGGAUGGUUGGGCUGACUAGGGAUGAUUGGACUGACUAAGGAUGGUUGGACUGACUAGGGAUGGUUGGGCUGACAAGGGAUGGUUGGACUGACUAGGGAUGAUUGGACUGACUAAGGAUGGUUGGACUGACUAAGGAUGGUUGGACUGACUAGGGAUGGUUGGACUAACUAGGGAUGGUUGGACUGACUAAGGAUGGUUGGACUGACUAGGGAUGGUUGGGCUGACUAGGGAUGGUUGGACUGACUAGGGAUGAUUGGACUGACUAGGGAUGGUUGGACUGACUAAGGAUGGUUGGACUGACUAGGGAUGGUUGGACUAACUAGGGAUGGUUGGGCUGACUAGGGAUGGUUGGACUGACUAGGGGUGAUUGGACUGACUAAGGAUGGUUGGACUGACUAGGGAUGGUUGGACUGACUAGGGAUGGUUGGACUGACUAGGGAUGGUUGGACUGACUAAGGGUGGUUGGACUGACUAGGGAUGGUUGGACUGACUAGGGAUGGUUGGACUGACUAAAGAUGGUUGGACUGACUAAGGAUGGUUGGACUGACUAAGAAUGGUUGGACUGACUAAGGAUGGUUGGACUAACUAAUGAUGGUUGGACUAACUAAGGAUGGUUGGACUGAAUAGGGAUGGUUGGACUAACUAAGGAUGGUUGGACUGACUAGGAAUGGUUGGACUGACUAAGGAUGGUUGGACUGAAUAGGGAUGGUUGGACUAACUAAGGAUGGUUGGACUGACUAGGGAUGGUUGAACUGACUAAGGAUGGUUGGACUGACUAAGGAUGGUUGGACUGACUAGGGAUGGUUGGACUAACUAGGGAUGGUUGGGCUGACUAGGGAUGGUUGGGCUGACUAAGGAUGGUUGGACUGACUAAGGAUGGUUGGACUGACUAGGGAUGGUUGGACUAACUAGGGAUGGUUGGACUAACUAAGGAUGGUUGGACUGACUAGGAAUGGUUGGACUGACUAAGGAUGGUUGGACUGAAUAGGGAUGGUUGGACUAACUAAGGAUGGUUGGACUGACUAGGGAUGGUUGAACUGACUAAGGAUGGUUGGACUGACUAAGGAUGGUUGGACUGACUAGGGAUGGUUGGACUAACUAGGGAUGGUUGGGCUGACUAGGGAUGGUUGGACUGACUAAGGAUGGUUGGACUGACUAAGGAUGGUUGGACUGACUAGGGAUGGUUGGACUGACUAAGGAUGGUUGGACUGACUAGGGAUGGUUGGACUGACUAGGAUUGAUGGACUGACUAGGGAUGGUUGGACUGAUUAGGAAUAGUUGGACUGACUAGGGUGGUUGGGAGAGGAAGGAGGUGGUUGCUAUUUGUUUUCAUUUUAUGUUCAAGCAUAAGAUUUAGUCAUGUUUGCAAGAUUAGUCAACUUUGUAACAUUUGAUUAAUUUUGUAUGAUUAAUUGAACUGCAAGAGAUCAAGUUAGUGUUGUAACAUUAGGUUCAGUUUGUAGGAUUACGUUAACGUUGUAACAUUAAGUUUCUAAUAUUAAGUUAUAUUUUUACCACUAUGGAUGGACAACAAAACACAAGUAUUCCCCCCCCCCCUUUUCUAAAGCAGAGAUUGUGUGUGUGUGCCAUAUGCGGUCUUUUACUUUUGUUAACUAAUCAAAUUUAAAUAAAGCAGCAGCGUAUUAAUUACGCUAUUCAAAUCACAAUUUUGUGGUCAUUUUCUUACCAAAUAAAAAAAAUACUUUUGAAUAGAUGUAGAUAUAAAUUUAUUUGAACACAUUUCAUCACAAUUGAUUGAUCAACAUCUUUUGUAACUUUCAUUGCAUUAUAAAUUAUAUAGAUUUAUUCUCAUUAUAUACUAUUAUUGUUAAUAAACCUUCACAAUAGAAAGACGUAUGAAUACAUUCUUCUUAUAGAGCAUUUCAUUCUCACUCUAAAAUAAACCUCACACUAAACUAAACCCUGCUGACCAUAUAGUAGAAGCCUACAUACACUCUCGCAAACAUUGGUAUGCUCUAUUUAUUUAUUCCCCCUAAUACCUUUCAACUUACUAAUGUUAUCUUUCCAUCCAAAGAAUCAUCUCUGGCCACCUGUGCCAGGUAUUGAUAUCUAGCACAUAUACGCCUCUGUUUUCCCCUGCCCCACCUCGAACAUCCACUCCUGCUCCCGUGGUGGGAAUGAACCCUUUAGCUACGAAAAAACGAAUAAGCUCGGGCGCUAAGGUCUGGGAGUUGCCGACAGAUCUGAGCUGAAACAGCCAUUCCAUGAGGACGAACCUGACGUGAACCUUCUCGAAGAACUUCUGGGCACAUUUCAAUGCAUGCGGCUCCGAGCCUUCUAUGUCCAUUUUGAGAUAAACGCUGGGCGCUUUGACCAGAGGCAGCAGGUCGUCCAGACAUAUGGUGUCCACCAGAACCAGAUCUUCCACUUGGUCGUCCAGACGGGUUGAGUUCAUUGGGACAACCUCAGAGCCCCCAACGUUACCGUCUGGAUUAAUAUAAACAGCCAAACGAGACUUUCGGUCGCUGUAAAUGGCAUUGUGAACAAGCGUAACAAGCUGAGAUAUUGUUUGAGCAUUCAGAUCGACAGCCUUCUCUUCAUCUACGUCUUGUGUUAAAGGAUGCUUGUGUGUAGAUCUAGCUACUGCUGGGCGAAAUUCAUUUUUUAUAGCAUCUUUUUGAAUUUUUGUCUUGGUUUGACUGAUUUGAUUCGACUUGAUCUCUUUGUUUAGAGUGUACUUCAAUGAUUGGUUCAUAUGGAGCAAUGCUCGUGACAGUUUUCGCGUUUUGAUUUUAUAUUUCCUUUUUACUUUAAACUUAUUUUUAUAAGUUUCGCUGACAUUUUUGUAGCUAUUUUGUAAAGAUAAAGAAACUUUGUUAAAUGA
Molecule: long non-coding RNA, 3195 nt
Organism: Biomphalaria glabrata
Lineage: Eukaryota; Metazoa; Mollusca; Gastropoda; Planorbidae
Exons: 2
Source: RefSeq, a predicted model, not a curated record